GGCUGGUCUGAUGGUAGUGGGUUAUCAGAACUUAUUAACAUUAGUGUUACUAAAGUUGGUAUUCAACCCCCCACUGCUAAAUUUGACUGGUUUUAA
Molecule: Y RNA, 96 nt
Filed under: Microcebus murinus (gray mouse lemur)
Lineage: Eukaryota; Metazoa; Chordata; Mammalia; Primates; Cheirogaleidae
Description: Y RNA (ENSMICG00000046678.1)
Rfam family: Y RNA
About the family: Y RNAs are components of the Ro ribonucleoprotein particle (Ro RNP), in association with Ro60 and La proteins. The Y RNAs and Ro60 and La proteins are well conserved, but the function of the Ro RNP is not known.
Source: Rfam by way of RNAcentral